AACAGGAUUAGAUACCCUGGUAGUCCACGCUGUAAACGAUGUCGACUUGGAGGUUGUGCCCUUGAGGCGUGGCUUCCGGAGCUAACGCGUUAAGUCGACCGCCUGGGGAGUACGGCCGCAAGGUUAAAACUCAAACGAAUUGACGGGGGCCCGCACAAGCGGUGGAGCAUGUGGUUUAAUUCGAUGCAACGCGAAGAACCUUACCUACUCUUGACAUCCACAGAACUUUCCAGAGAUGGAUUGGUGCCUUCGGGAACUGUGAGACAGGUGCUGCAUGGCUGUCGUCAGCUCGUGUUGUGAAAUGUUGGGUUAAGUCCCGCAACGAGCGCAACCCUUAUCCUUUGUUGCCAGCACGUAAUGGUGGGAACUCAAAGGAGACUGCCGGUGAUAAACCGGAGAAAGGUGGGGAUGACGUCAAGUCAUCAUGGCCCUUACGAGUAGGGCUACACACGUGCUACAAUGGCAUAUACAAAGAGAAGCGAACUCGCGAGAGCAAGCGGACCUCAUAAAGUAUGUCGUAGUCCGGAUCGGAGUCUGCAACUCGACUCCGUGAAGUCGGAAUCGCUAGUAAUCGUAGAUCAGAAUGCUACGGCGAAUACGUUCCCGGGCCUUGUACACACCGCCCGUCACACCAUGGGAGUGGGUUGCAAAAGAAGUAGGUAGCUUAACCUUCGGGAGGGCGCUUACCACUUUGUGAUUCAUGACUGGGGUGAAGUCGUAACAAGGUAACC
This 731-nucleotide ribosomal RNA is filed under the name uncultured bacterium. Its description in RNAcentral is "bacterial SSU rRNA". It matches the Rfam family "Bacterial small subunit ribosomal RNA", at positions 771 to 1501 of the family's 1533-position model. The record is from RNAcentral.